RNAcentral lists this long non-coding RNA (213 nucleotides) under Linum usitatissimum (flax). RNAcentral's name for it is "long non-coding RNA (LUSI_LNC000145)". The record is from RNAcentral. Lineage: Eukaryota; Viridiplantae; Streptophyta; Magnoliopsida; Malpighiales; Linaceae.
UCAUUGCAGCUGCAGGUCUUUUAGUGCCAUGGCUAGCAGCAUUAUUCAACACCGAGCAGCCAUACUGAAGACCGUUUUCGAUCGAGGCAUACUCAGGCUUAACUGCUGCUGGAGGAUAGGAGGACCUCGGAGGCUUUUGAGGAACAGCAGGAACCGAAUCGGUGCUGCUAGAGCUGUCGAACGAGAUAAUGCACGAGUAAGGCGAGGAAGACG